RNAcentral lists this ribosomal RNA (403 nucleotides) under Formica schaufussi. RNAcentral describes it as "partial 16S ribosomal RNA". The record is from RNAcentral. Lineage: Eukaryota; Metazoa; Arthropoda; Insecta; Hymenoptera; Formicidae.
UGAUUAUAUUUUAAGAUUUGUUCUGCUCAAUGAUAAUAAAUUAAUUAAAUAGCCGCAGUAAUUUGACUGUGCAAAGGUAGCAUAAUCAAUUGUCUUUUAAUUAGAGACUUGGAUGAAGGAAUGAAUGAAAUUUAAACUGUCUAUAAUAAAAAAUUAAAAUUUAAAUUUUAAGUUAAAAUGCUUAAAUAGAAUUAUGGGACGAGAAGACCCUAUAGAAUUUUAUAUAAAUUUUUAAGUAAUUAUAUAUAAGUAAAAAAAUUAUAUUUAAAAUUAUAUUUUAUUGGGAGGAUAAUUAAAUUAAUUUAACUUUUUAUAAUUAUUUAUGUAUUAUAUAUGUUGUGUAUAUAUAAUUUAAGACCAUUGAUUUAUGAAAAAAUGAAUAAAUUUUUAUUAAAUUUAUAUU